Molecule: transfer RNA, 65 nt
Filed under: Synapturanus sp. MHNL 19901
Lineage: Eukaryota; Metazoa; Chordata; Amphibia; Anura; Microhylidae
Description: tRNA-Cys
Source: RNAcentral
AGUUUCAAGGUGUAGUUGCAUGGGCGAUUGCAAGUCGCUAGGGGCGGGUGAGACCGCUGAGACUU